UGAGCCUUGAUGUGUAGGAUAGGUGGGAGGCUUUGAAGUGUGGACGCCAGUCUGCAUGGAGCCGACCUUGAAAUACCACCCUUUAAUGUUUGAUGUUCUAACGUUGACCCGUAAUCCGGGUUGCGGACAGUGUCUGGUGGGUAGUUUGACUGGGGCGGUCUCCUCCUAAAGAGUAACGGAGGAGCACGAAGGUUGGCUAAUCCUGGUCGGACAUCAGGAGGUUAGUGCAAUGGCAUAAGCCAGCUUGACUGCGAGCGUGACGGCGCGAGCAGGUGCGAAAGCAGGUCAUAGUGAUCCGGUGGUUCUGAAUGGAAGGGCCAUCGCUCAACGGAUAAAAGGUACUCCGGGGAUAACAGGCUGAUACCGCCCAAGAGUUCAUAUCGACGGCGGUGUUUGGCACCUCGAUGUCGGCUCAUCACAUCCUGGGGCUGAAGUAGGUCCCAAGGGUAUGGCUGUUCGCCAUUUAAAGUGGUACGCGAGCUGGGUUUAGAACGUCGUGAGACAGUUCGGUCCCUAUCUGCCGUGGGCGCUGGAGAACUGAGGGGGGCUGCUCCUAGUACGAGAGGACCGGAGUGGACGCAUCACUGGUGUUCGGGUUGUCAUGCCAAUGGCACUGCCCGGUAGCUAAAUGCGGAAGAGAUAAGUGCUGAAAGCAUCUAAGCACGAAACUUGCCCCGAGAUGAGUUCUCCCUGACUCCUUGAGAGUCCUGAAGGAACGUUGAAGACGACGACGUUGAUAGGCCGGGUGUGUAAGCGCAGCGAUGCGUUGAGCUAACCGGUACUAAUGAACCGUGAGGCUUAACCUUACAACGCCGAAGCUGUU
Molecule: ribosomal RNA, 823 nt
Filed under: Escherichia coli
Lineage: Bacteria; Pseudomonadati; Pseudomonadota; Gammaproteobacteria; Enterobacterales; Enterobacteriaceae
Description: partial 23S ribosomal RNA
Rfam family: Bacterial large subunit ribosomal RNA
Source: RNAcentral